GGCGCCACAAAUUUGUUUUCAAACAGUUUGUGAUCAAACUGACAACUGGAGAAACAAAGAAGUUAGAAGCUGUUCAGAAAAUACCUCAAAGAAGUUAACACUAAACCUACUACUGAGUAUGGUGCUGUAUGCUCAGAUAUGUAACCUUCAUGCGAAGAUGCAUGAUGAACAGGAGGGCCUACAGCAGCACCUAGAUCUUCUGCACAGAUUUUGCCAGACUACAGAGAAGGCCAAGCUGGGGCCAAGCUUCCUGUCAUCCAGGACCUACAUAAUAGGCAGUGUCAGAGGACAGCCACAAAAAUUGUCAGAGA
This is a long non-coding RNA of Salmo salar (Atlantic salmon), 311 nucleotides long. RefSeq lists it as uncharacterized. The record is from RefSeq and is a predicted model, not a curated record. Lineage: Eukaryota; Metazoa; Chordata; Actinopteri; Salmoniformes; Salmonidae.